CCCUUCAGUGCUGCAGCAAACGCAUUAAGCACUCCGCCUGGGGAGUACGACCGCAAGGUUGAAACUCAAAGGAAUUGACGGGGGCCCGCACAAGCGGUGGAGCAUGUGGUUUAAUUCGAAGCAACGCGAAGAACCUUACCAGGUCUUGACAUCCUUUGACCACUCUAGAGAUAGAGCUUUCCCUUCGGGGACAAAGUGACAGGUGGUGCAUGGUUGU
This 217-nucleotide ribosomal RNA is filed under the name Enterococcus sp. RNAcentral describes it as "partial 16S ribosomal RNA". It matches the Rfam family "Bacterial small subunit ribosomal RNA", at positions 836 to 1052 of the family's 1533-position model. The record is from RNAcentral. Lineage: Bacteria; Bacillati; Bacillota; Bacilli; Lactobacillales; Enterococcaceae.